GAUGAACGCUGGCGGCGUGCCUAAUACAUGCAAGUAGAACGCUGAAGGAAGGAGCUUGCUCUUUCCGGAUGAGUUGCGAACGGGUGAGUAACGCGUAGGUAACCUGCCUGGUAGCGGGGGAUAACUAUUGGAAACGAUAGCUAAUACCGCAUAACAGUAGAUGUUGCAUGAUAUCUACUUAAAAGGUGCAAUUGCACCACUACCAGAUGGACCUGCGUUGUAUUAGCUAGUUGGUGAGGUAACGGCUCACCAAGGCGACGAUACAUAGCCGACCUGAGAGGGUGAUCGGCCACACUGGGACUGAGACACGGCCCAGACUCCUACGGGAGGCAGCAGUAGGGAAUCGUCGGCAAUGGACGGAAGUCUGACCGAGCAACGCCGCGUGAGUGAAGAAGGUUUUCGGAUCGUAAAGCUCUGUUGUAAGAGAAGAACGAGUGUGAGAGUGGAAAGUUCACACUGUGACGGUAUCUUACCAGAAAGGGACGGCUAACUACGUG
RNAcentral lists this ribosomal RNA (497 nucleotides) under uncultured bacterium. Its description in RNAcentral is "partial 16S ribosomal RNA". It matches the Rfam family "Bacterial small subunit ribosomal RNA", at positions 28 to 507 of the family's 1533-position model. The record is from RNAcentral.